CCUACGGGAGGCAGCAGUGAGGAAUAUUGGUCAAUGGGCGCGAGCCUGAACCAGCCAAGUAGCGUGAAGGAUGACUGCCCUACGGGUUGUAAACUUCUUUUAUAAAGGAAUAAAGUGAGGCAUGCGUGCCUUUUUGUAUGUACUUUAUGAAUAAGGAUCGGCUAACUCCGUGCCAGCAGCCGCGGUAAUACGGAGGAUCCGAGCGUUAUCCGGAUUUAUUGGGUUUAAAGGGAGCGUAGAUGGGUUGUUAAGUCAGUUGUGAAAGUUUGCGGCUCAACCGUAAAAUUGCAAUUGAUACUGGCAGCCUUGAGUACAGGUGAGGUAGGCGGAAUUCGUGGUGUAGCGGUGAAAUGCUUAGAUAUCACGAAGAACUCCGAUUGCGAAGGCAGCUUACUAGACUGCAACUGACAUUGAUGCUCGAAAGUGUGGGGAUCAAACAGGAUUAGAUACCCGGGUAGUC
RNAcentral lists this ribosomal RNA (460 nucleotides) under uncultured bacterium. RNAcentral describes it as "partial 16S ribosomal RNA". It matches the Rfam family "Bacterial small subunit ribosomal RNA", at positions 338 to 795 of the family's 1533-position model. The record is from RNAcentral.